UUUAGCUUUCUCUUGUUACCGUUUGGAGAUAAGACAGGCUGGCUGUGCAAGCUGUCCAUGAGCUGUGCUUUGACUAUGUAUCUAGACAGAUACAUGGCAAGAUGAAGAGAAGCCUUAAAGCAUCCAAUCACACGCUAAAGAGAGACCAGCCAAUAAGAAGAACUAUCAUGAAGAUAAAGACUAGCAUAACUCUCUCCAUCUCAACCAUCCAAACUCCAAGAAGAUUAUGAGCCAUUAGAUUUAGGUCUUAUGUUAUUGCAAAUGUAAAAGCCUAUAUAAAGCUCAUAAUGUCGAUUGUAA
This 300-nucleotide long non-coding RNA is filed under the name Brassica rapa (field mustard). RNAcentral's name for it is "long non-coding RNA (BRAP_LNC008619)". Lineage: Eukaryota; Viridiplantae; Streptophyta; Magnoliopsida; Brassicales; Brassicaceae. The record is from RNAcentral.